This 305-nucleotide ribosomal RNA is filed under the name uncultured bacterium. Its description in RNAcentral is "bacterial SSU rRNA". It matches the Rfam family "Bacterial small subunit ribosomal RNA", at positions 332 to 655 of the family's 1533-position model. The record is from RNAcentral.
UGCACCUACGGGACGCAGCAGUGGGGAAUAUUGCACAAUGGGGGAAACCCUGAUGCAGCAACGCCGCGUGAGUGGAGAAGUAUUUCGGUAUGUAAAGCUCUAUCAGCAGGGAAGAAGAAAGACGGUACCUGACUAAGAAGCCCCGGCUAACUACGUGCCAGCAGCCGCGGUAAUACGUAGGGGGCAAGCGUUAUCCGGAUUUACUGGGUGUAAAGGGAGCGCAGGCGGCGUGGCAAGUCAGAUGUGAAAACCCGGGGCCCAACCCCGGGAGUGCAUUUGAAACUGCCAUGCUGGAGUGCCGGAGA